UACGUAGGGUGCAAGCGUUGUCCGGAAUUACUGGGCGUAAAGAGCUCGUAGGUGGUUUGUCGCGUUGUUCGUGAAAACUCACAGCUCAACUGUGGGCGUGCGGGCGAUACGGGCAGACUUGAGUACUGCAGGGGAGACUGGAAUCCCUGGUGUAGCGGUGGAAUGCGCAGAUAUCAGGAGGAACACCGGUGGCGAAGGCGGGUCUCUGGGCAGUAACUGACGCUGAGGAGCGAAAGCGUGGGGAGCGAACAGG
Molecule: ribosomal RNA, 253 nt
Filed under: uncultured bacterium
Lineage: Bacteria
Description: partial 16S ribosomal RNA
Rfam family: Bacterial small subunit ribosomal RNA
Source: RNAcentral